RNAcentral lists this ribosomal RNA (494 nucleotides) under uncultured bacterium. Its description in RNAcentral is "partial 16S ribosomal RNA". It matches the Rfam family "Bacterial small subunit ribosomal RNA", at positions 29 to 507 of the family's 1533-position model. The record is from RNAcentral.
ACGAACGCUGGCGGCGUGCCUAAUACAUGCAAGUAGAACGCUGAAGGAGGAGCUUGCUUCUCUGGAUGAGUUGCGAACGGGUGAGUAACGCGUAGGUAACCUGCCUGGUAGCGGGGGAUAACUAUUGGAAACGAUAGCUAAUACCGCAUAAUAGCAGUUGUUGCAUGACAACUGUUUGAAAGGUGCAAUUGCACCACUACCAGAUGGACCUGCGUUGUAUUAGCUAGUUGGUGGGGUAACGGCUCACCAAGGCGACGAUACAUAGCCGACCUGAGAGGGUGAUCGGCCACACUGGGACUGAGACACGGCCCAGACUCCUACGGGAGGCAGCAGUAGGGAAUCUUCGGCAAUGGACGGAAGUCUGACCGAGCAACGCCGCGUGAGGGAAGAAGGUUUUCGGAUCGUAAAGCUCUGUUGUAAGAGAAGAACGAGUGUGAGAGUGGAAAGUUCACACUGUGACGGUAUCUUACCAGAAAGGGACGGCUAACUACGUG